GGAUUAGAUACCCUGGUAGUCCACGCCGUAAACGAUGAGAACUAGAUGUUGGGAGGGUUGCCUCUCGGUGUCGCAGCUAACGCGUUAAGUUCUCCGCCUGGGGAGUACGCCGGCAACGGUAAAACUCAAAGGAAUUGACGGGGACCCGCACAAGCGGUGGAGCAUGUGGUUUAAUUCGAUGCAACGCGAAGAACCUUACCUGCCCUUGACAUACUCGGAACUUUCCAGAGAUGGAUUGGUGCCUUCGGGAAUCGAGAUACAGGUGCUGCAUGGCUGUCGUCAGCUCGUGCCG
This 292-nucleotide ribosomal RNA is filed under the name uncultured bacterium. RNAcentral describes it as "partial 16S ribosomal RNA". It matches the Rfam family "Bacterial small subunit ribosomal RNA", at positions 775 to 1067 of the family's 1533-position model. The record is from RNAcentral.